GAUGAAGAACGUAGCGAAAUGCGAUAAGUAAUGUGAAUUGCAGAAUUCAGUGAAUCAUCGAAUCUUUGAACGCACAUUGCGCCCUCUGGUAUUCCGGGGGGCAUGCCUGUUCGAGCGUCAUUAUAACCACUCAAGCUCUCGCUUGGUAUUGGAGUUCGCGAUCUCGCGGCUCCUAAAAUCAGUGGCGGUGCUUGUCGGCUCUACGCGUAGUAAUACUCCUCGCGAUUGAGUCCGGUAGGUUUACUUGCCAGCAACCCCCAAUUUUUACAGGUUGACCUCGGAUCAGGUAGGGAUACCCGCUGAACUUAAGCAUAUCAAUAAGCGGAGGA
This 329-nucleotide unclassified non-coding RNA is filed under the name soil metagenome. RNAcentral's name for it is "partial contains 5.8S ribosomal RNA, internal transcribed spacer 2, and large subunit ribosomal RNA". The stretch from base 1 to 120 matches the Rfam family "5.8S ribosomal RNA", at positions 35 to 154 of the family's 154-position model. The record is from RNAcentral.